CACUUAGAUGUUCUGGGCCGCACGCGCGCUACACUGACGAAUGCAACGAGCUUAUAACCUUGGCCGAAAGGUCUGGGUAAUCUCCAAAUUUCGUCGUGAUGGGGAUAGAUUAUUGCAAUUAUUAAUCUUCAACGAGGAAUGCCUAGUAAGCGCAAGUCAUCAGCUUGCGUUGAUUACGUCCCUGCCCUUUGUACACACCGCCCGUCGCUCCUACCGAUUGAAUGGUCCGGUGAAGCGCUCGGACCGCGGCCUCUUGACGGUUUUCCGUCGAUUGGCUGUGGGAAGUUCGUUAAACCUUAUCAUUUAGAGGAAGGAGAAGUCGUAACA
Molecule: ribosomal RNA, 327 nt
Filed under: uncultured eukaryote
Lineage: Eukaryota
Description: partial 18S ribosomal RNA
Rfam family: Eukaryotic small subunit ribosomal RNA
Source: RNAcentral